CCGGUUGAUCCUGCCGGAGGCUACCGCUAUUGGAGUUCGAUUAAGCCAUGCGAGUCGCGAGUCUUAGGGACUCGGCGUACCGCUCAGUAACACGUGGGUAACCUGCCCUAUGCUGGGGGAUAACCUCGGGAAACUGAGAAUAAUACCCCAUAGUUCACCAUGCCUGGAACGGUGGGUGGACCAAAGCUCCGGCGGCAUAGGAUGGGCCUGCGGCGUAUCAGGUUGUAGGGGGUGUAAUGUACCCUCUAGCCCUCUACGCGUACGGGUGUUGAGAGACAUCGCCCGGAGAUGGAUUCUGAGACACGAAUCCAGACCCUACGGGGUGCAGCAGGCGCGAAAACUUGGCAAUGCGAGAAAUCGUGACCAGGGAACUCCAAGUGCAUCGGGUAAGACCGAUGCUUUUCUUGACUCUUCAAAGGUCUUGGAAUAAGGGGUGGGUAAGGACGGUGCCAGCCGCCGCGGUAAUACCGGCGCCCCAAGUGGUAGUCGCUUUUAUUGGGCCUAAAACGUCCGUAGCCGGUCUGGUACAUUCGUGGGUAAAUCAACCAGCUCAACUGGUUGAAUUCUGCGAGCACGGCCAGACUUGGGACCGGGAGAGGUGUGGGGUACUCUCAGGGUAGGGGUAAAAUCCUGUCAUCCUGAGAGGACCACCUGUUGCGAAGGCGCCACACUAGAACGGAUCCGACGGUCAGGGACGAAGCCUAGGGGCACGAACCGGAUUAGAUACCCGGGUAGUCCUAGGUGUAAACGCUGUGGACUUGAUGUUGGGGGCGCUUCCGAGCGCACUC
RNAcentral lists this ribosomal RNA (788 nucleotides) under uncultured archaeon. RNAcentral's name for it is "bacterial SSU rRNA". It matches the Rfam family "Archaeal small subunit ribosomal RNA", at positions 4 to 796 of the family's 1478-position model. The record is from RNAcentral.